AGUGAGGAAUAUUGGUCAAUGGACGCAAGUCUGAACCAGCCAUGCCGCGUGAAUGAAGAAGGCCUUAGGGUCGUAAAGUUCUGUCCUUAGGGAAGAACCGUGGGUAUAGCAAAUGAUACCCACCUGACGGUACCUUUGGAGGAAGCACUGGCUAACUACGUGCCAGCAGCCGCGGUAAUACGUAGAGUGCAAGCGUUGUCCGGAAUUAUUGGGCGUAAAGGGUACGCAGGCGGAUAGUAAAGUCAAGCGUGAAAGGUGUCGGCUUAACCGACAGACUGCGUUUGAAACUGAUUAUCUUGAGUGUAACAGAGGAGAGUGGAAUUCCUAGUGUAGUGGUGAAAUACGUAGAUAUUAGGAAGAACACCAGUGGCGAAGGCGACUCUCUGGGUUAACACUGACGCUGAGGUACGAAAGCUGGGGGAGCGAACGGGAUUAGGUACCCCGGUAGUCCCAGCCGUAAACGAUGGAUACUAGGUGUUGGAGGUUCGAAUCCUUCAGUGCCGGAGUUAACGCAUUAAGUAUCCCGCCUAGGGAUUACGAUCGCAAGAUUG
RNAcentral lists this ribosomal RNA (551 nucleotides) under uncultured bacterium. RNAcentral describes it as "bacterial SSU rRNA". It matches the Rfam family "Bacterial small subunit ribosomal RNA", at positions 353 to 896 of the family's 1533-position model. The record is from RNAcentral.